Mercenaria mercenaria is the source of this 382-nucleotide long non-coding RNA. RefSeq lists it as uncharacterized. The record is from RefSeq and is a predicted model, not a curated record. NCBI's taxonomy places the organism in Eukaryota, Metazoa, Mollusca, Bivalvia, Venerida, Veneridae. The transcript is spliced from 3 exons.
GCAACCAUGGAGACGGGUUGUAUUGAAGAACAAUUAGAAUGUCCAGUCUGUUUACAACGAUAUGAAGUGCCUAAAGUAAUGCCGUGCCAACACACUGUUUGUUUGUAGUGUCUCGAGCGUCUAGCCCAAUUGAGUCGUGUCAUUAAAUGUCCGGAAUGUCGAGCUGAACAUCCUGUACCGACGAAAGGAGUAACUGGAUUCCCUAACAGUAUUGUAAUUCAGAGACUUCUUGGAGCAGUUGGUCCACAAAAUGUUUCAAGUCCAAAUAUAGAAAAACGCUGAUGUAUGACCGCAUAUACAUUAAUAAGACGUAAACAGAGUCAGGUUUGAUUUGUCUUUAGUCCAGAGAAGACACCAAUCUCCAGCAACCUGACGAAAUGUA